AUUGAACGCUGGCGGCAUGCCUAACACAUGCAAGUCGAACGGUAACGCGGGGGCAACCCUGGCGACGAGUGGCGGACGGGUGAGUAAUACGUAGGAAUCUGCCCAUUUGUGGGGGAUAACCCGGCGAAAGCCGGGCUAAUACCGCAUACGCUCUACGGAGGAAAGCGGGGGAUCGUAAGACCUCGCGCUAAUGGAUGAGCCUACGUCGGAUUAGCUAGUUGGUAGGGUAAUGGCCUACCAAGGCGACGAUCCGUAGCUGGUCUGAGAGGACGAUCAGCCACACUGGGACUGAGACACGGCCCAGACUCCUACGGGAGGCAGCAGUGGGGAAUAUUGGACAAUGGGGGCAACCCUGAUCCAGCAAUGCCGCGUGUGUGAAGAAGGCCUGCGGGUUGUAAAGCACUUUCAGAGGGGAAGAAAAAAUCGGAGCUAACACCUCCGAGCUUGACGUUACCCUUAGAAGAAGCACCGGCUAACUCCGUG
RNAcentral lists this ribosomal RNA (483 nucleotides) under uncultured bacterium. RNAcentral's name for it is "bacterial SSU rRNA". It matches the Rfam family "Bacterial small subunit ribosomal RNA", at positions 29 to 507 of the family's 1533-position model. The record is from RNAcentral.